UCUCUGUAAGCAGGAAAACAAAACAAGGAAAAUGACCAAAAAAUAAAUUCUCUCAAUGCCACAUCUCUUUUCUUUUUGCUUUCAUUUUUCAAGUGAAAAGCAGAAGUAUUGCUCAAACAAACCUCUUUAAGAAUAGAAUAUAUUGUGUAAUGAUUUAUUAAGACUCAAGGAGUCUCAAGGCCCCUUUUUAAUAGCAAUGUUAUUGAUCGCCGAUGAAAAAGCGUGUAUUUGGUUUUAAUAGGUUUUGCUUCUCGAAGCACACUCUUUACAUUCUACAUUGUUCGCUUUUGCAAGAUAUAAACCACUGGGGACUCCAGACACAGUAAAACUGCAGCUGGCAAAAUGUUUGAUAUAAUUUUUUUUUUUAUCAACCUAUUAAAACUAAAACACAUUAUCUCACAAAAUAUAUAAGAAACCAAAUCUUUGCAGCUCUAGCGCUAGGGCCUGCUCCUGAGGUUUACAGUAGAUUUGUUACUCUCUCAGUAAAAUGAAGGAAAACCUUAUUCUACAGGGUCCACAAGUUUCAUUUCGCUUUAGUGAAACCUUGCCAAACAUAUCAGAACAGUUCCAUAUUCCAGAUAGCUUUGUCUAAAGAGCAAAUGUAUUGUAUUGUAUUGACAGUAACGUGCAUUAGAAUAUGGAAGAACAGUAGAAAUAAAUACUAACAGACUUGCAUUGUGUUGUCCCUGCUAUUAUGUUAUCGGGCGAUGCCAGCUAGGCAGGGAUGACUGCCAGUCACCCCUCCACCUUGCGCUCCCCCACCCUCACUGUCUGUUGUGUGGUCCUGCUGUUUAUCACCACGGAAACGGAAUCUGCAGCCGUGUUGAUACUGCCAAUAAACACAUCACCAAUCAUGGCUGUAGAGCAGACCAUUAGAUUCAUGGCUUUGACGAGGCCAUCACUGAGAGGACACCAGGCCCAGUCUUGUCAGCUAGUCCUGUAUGGACUGUUUGCUUUAGCGCAGGUCAAACAGCAGAAUGUCUCUCCAAGGAACUGGAACAGGGGACGCAGCCCGGAAAUGAAAAGGCCAUGAAUUCAUGAAUAUGUGUUAUUUAUUGGGAGAUUGCCAGCAGAAUGAGAGAGAGUGAGAGAGAGAGGGAGAGAGAGCAAGAGAGAGAGAGAGAGAGAGAGAGAGAGAGAGAGGAUUCUCUUACUGAUGCAGGGGGCGAUGGGUGAGCGACUCUGCUGGUAGCCUUUAGCACAGCGGUUGCAGUUUGUCAUUUUACAGAGAAACUGGAAAAUGUAAAGUCCUCUGUCCUAUGAUGCCCAAGACUCCUUCCAUAAAUGCUAAAGAGCAUGUUAGGAAGUUGGGGUCAGAGCACAGGGUCAGCCAUGAUACAGCCCCUGGAGCAGAGAAGGUUAAAGAAAGGGCCUUGCUCAAGGGCCCAACAGUGGCAGCUUGGCAAUACUGAAGCUUGAACCCCCGACCUUCUGAUCAGUAACCCAGAGCCUUAACUGUCAAGCCACCACUGCCCCCCAAAGUGGAGCAUCCAUUGUACAAGUUAAGUGCAUGAACUGUUUAUUUUAGAAACAAAAACUUAUUUGAAUGAUCAUAUUAAUAUAAAUCUUUUGCUCUUGUUACAGCCAGAACUACAGUCCGAGCUGCACUGUUAUACACAAAUAAUCCACACCUUUUGACCAACUGUGCUAUUCUAUAAAGACUACAUUUACUUUUAUUCAUUUAGCAGAUGCUUUUAUCCUAAGCGACUUACAAAUGAUAAAAUACAAGCAAAGCAAUAUUAAGCAGAGAACAAUACAAGAAGUGCUUCCAUACAAGAUCCAUUAAUUGAGUUCCAGAAGAAGCAAAGUGUGCAGAGUACAGGUUUAAGUGCAAGAAUAAGUUGGAAGUUCAUUCCAUCACUGAGGGACAGUUAGUUUGAAGGUUCUUGAAACCGAUCUUGAGCCAUGCUGAGAAGGCACUACUAUCGUUGAUUGAUUGCAGAUUGCGUGAGGGAACGUAAGCCUUCAGGAGAGAGUUGAGGUAGGAGGGUGUUUUUCCAGUCAAGGUCUUGUAGGUGAGCAUCAAGGCCUUGAAUUUGAUGCAGUCGGCUACAUGAAGCCAGUGGAGGGAGAUUGAAGAGGGGUGUGACAUGGGUUCUCUUGGGCUGGUUGAAGACGAGGUGUGCUGCAGCAUUCUGAAUCAUUUGAAGGGGUUUGAUGGAGCUGGCUGGGAAACUCGAGAGUAGAUGAACAUACAGGACCGUGCAGUUGUUGAGAUGUGCUCUGUAAAGGUCAAGAUGUCAUCGAGAAUCACCCCAAGGUUCCUAGCCGUCCUGGUUGGCUUGAGUGUGGUUGAGCCGAGCUGUACAGUGACUAACAACUAAUGAUUAGUUCAUAUUUAUUAAUGAUGUAUUAAUGAUAUUAUAAAGUGUUACCUAGAUGAACUGCACUGGAAACUGCACUGUACUUCAUGAUUGUACAUAUUCAAGCAUAGGACUGGGGCUGUGUAACCUCACAGAGCGACAUGCUCCUCUGAACUGGUAUACAGUCUGGAAUUUUAUUUGGAGAAGCCACUAAACAGAAAUCUCCAUUUCAACAGGACCGGGUGAACAGUUAUAGCCUGCACCUGUGAACAUUUUAGUGUAGGCAAGUUCAUCUGGUAAGGGUCUGUCAAACUUAUGGUGUGUGUGUGUGUGGGGGGGGUUGAAUUUCCUACUUGCAUGUGUAAUGCCUACACACUGCAUGUCAGUGUAUGUGUGGGUUGCACAUUGUCACUGUGACUGGUCUUUGCAUAUGUACAUCUGUAUGUGUGUGUUUUAAAAGCCUUUGUGCUUCACUGUAGGUUUGUGAUCUGCCAUGUAGACCGCUCGCAGCCCUCUCUGAUUGAGUUUCCAAUGUACAGCCUCUUGGCAGGCACAGCCGCUGCAAAUAAAGCCCGAAUAACAUUCACCAUUAAUGGGGCGGUGCGGUGCACUUCAAAGCCGCUCUGCUUAAGCCGUUAGUUAGGAGGAUCGGACAUUAAAAGUGAGAAUUUCGUUGCAUGCUCCUGCUGCCAAACGUUUACCAUAAAGUUGCAUGUUUGAAGUCCUGGCCCAGAUCUCUUCAUCAGGCCGGUAGGUUUUUAUGGAACUGAGAAGUAAUUUGAAAACAGCUUGAGGCGAGCCAGUCUUAAGAAAUCUGUCAAGCAAUUAGUGAGGGCCGGGAGGCACCCGUGAAGAUCAGACAUCACUCACAGAAUUAAACAAGACAAUAGUCUGACACUGUUUGGGUACAGUGAAGGGUCCGAGGGAAGUGUUUGUUAAACAUUACAAUGACACCCUUUUUAUCUCUUACUUCUGUGCAUGGUUGUAUUAAAGAACAAAUCAAAAAAAUAAGAAAAUCACACUUUCCAUGCUAAAUUAAACCCAGUCUGUUACUGUACAACUAUGACUUCAUGAAAUAGGCAUUGUUUUUUUCCCCACUGUUGCCCUUUCCAGCAUGAACAUAAGCUAUGAUUUUCAGACUUAUUCUGACGUGAGAAUCCUGUCUGAGUAGAAGCAGAACCUGCAUUAAGUAAUACAGGACAAUUACAAGUUAAAUGGGAUAAGAAACAAUGGGAUGGAAACAUGGCUUAAACCACACAAGUGGCUGGUCUAUUUUCACAUGUCCUCUGGAGACGCAGACAUUUUUAAAACAGCAGGACAUAUGGGAUAAACCAACACAGAUUUCAGUUUCUUUCACAUCAGUUUCCAGAAUGAAAUUCUACCAAUUUUUGACCGUUGUCAUAAAUGUUUCUUUCCCCCUUUUCUACUUGAAUCCAUGAGGUGAUCAGAUGUGAUUAAAGUACACUUUGGUGUAUCGGUGAUAAGGUGGAACUUGGAGCCAAGGUGUUUGGAAUUUCAAUGUACACUUGACGUGGACACUUCAUAUUAGUCAUACCUGGAUUUGUGUACUUCAGCCACCCACCAGUGAGCCUACCUACUCUUAUAUUAAAGCACUUACACCCCCGCACAGCCCACCACAGAGCACUUCAGACCAUAGUCCAAAGCAGAAGUACUAAUGAAGGCUGAAAGUGGGGUGUAAGGAGCUGUUGGCUAGGCAAUGAAGUGUGGUCAAAAAUGUUCCAUCAGAACUGAAAACAUGCCGAAACACAAAAAAGAGAAGUUGACAGGUUGGUGAUAUAGGUAAGGUAGAAGGGAGAGAGCAAGAGAAAUAGCGAGAGAUGCGGAAAUUAAAACAAAAGGGUAUAGCUGUGGAAAGUGACAUGCUGUUUACACUGCCCUCGAUGAGAGAUGAAGUCGUUGAUCAGGGAAAUAAAGCAUGAGGCAUUCCACACUGCCGCUGGAGGGGGAUUUGGUUCUGAGCUGUAUUCCCUGCUUGGUCUUUUGCGGACAGCCGCAUACGCCACGUUUGCGGGAAUGAGUUCCCGAUUUUCUCCUGAGCGCCUCUGGCAUGAUGACCCGUUUCCCAUCCAAAACAAGCACGUCGAGAUGGUUGGCUGACUCGAACAAUAAAUACCGACGUCACGAGUCCAGAGUUUGUCACCGGAGGAGAACGCAAUCAGGCUGUUUACCUUUUGGUCCCCUCGGUCCACGGCUAAACAAAUGAGAGCGAGGGACUGGAAGCUGUCAGCCCUCCUAUUAACAGCUGCUGCUUUAUGGCGGCUACAUGUUAAGCUCAUUAUGAGAGGCAAGUAAUGUUAUAACUAGCAUAGCCAUAUCCUUUCCCUUCUGCCCUCUGAGCAUCCCAAAUAUAGCCUGGGUAAAUGUUUGGGCUGGCAGGAGUGACUCAAUGUUGCUGAAAACCAUUUGGAACAUCCUUAGGAAUCAGUGGCAUUCCUCUGGUGAGAAUAUAAAGUGAUGACAGUGAAGCAUGGGGCCGUAUUGGCCAUCACUGAAACGCCGGGUCUGGGAUCAAACACCCAAUGAAAAUUAAGGCACCCUAAUGAUUGUGAAAGCAACUUAACCAACGGUUACGUUGGAGUUUUUUUUAUGCUUUCAGCCAGUCCAAGGCCCAUUAGCCACAGUGAAGAUGGAAUAAAGCUUCUGCCCUUGGUGUCUGUAUGUGUAUUUAUGUGUGUGUGGUGAGGGUUAACAAGAUAGCAGGCAGAAGGGCACAGUUGGACUGAAAAUGUGGAAUCCAGCUCAGGGCCAAAUGGAAUGCAAACAUGGCGGUGGAUAAAAACCACACUGCGGUUUGUUCACAAACUCUUCAGCAGCUGCACUUACUAUAAAAUAUGUGAUGGCUCCAGUGGGUAAAUGGUAAAUAUGUUUGACAAGAUCUCUUGCUUGAAAGUUUUGCAAGUUUACAUUGACCUUUUUUUCGUUUCAAGCUGGCAUCCCUUGAAUCAGAUACAGCUUUCUACUCGAUUAAAGAUUUCUUUUUCCUCAUAAACGUCAAAAACACAACAGUUCACUAGAGAGGUUAGACUAAAAAUAUGAAAUAUCACAUUUACACACAAGUGUUAGUCAGGUAAAGGGCUUUCUUUACAGAAGGAGUUACCGUUUUGUUUAGGAGGUGAUUGUUAACAUUGCCUUUUGUUCAGAAUUGUGUGCCUCCCUUCUCCUUUUUCCUGCUUUACACAUGACACAUUGUGCUCACAUGCGGUUUAUGUGCUUUAUCCUUCUCCAAGUUAAAUGAAUACGAUCCAAUAAAAUAAUAGAGAGCCUAGUUGCUUGAGCCAUGACAAUUACAACUGUUCUCUCUUCUAAUGAUGGAAUUUCAUUGGUUAAAUUUAGCCUAAAUGCACUUUAGCACUAAGGGGUCUGUGAAAUAAGAAUUGGGCUGGCUUCCUCUGGGUUUUCCGGUUUCCUCCCACAGGCCAAAAAAACAACAAAACAACAACAAAUAAAAAAACAGGCUGUUUUUGUGAUUGGCUGUUCUACAUUUCUCCUAGGUGUGAUAAGUGUGUGAAUGUGUGUGUGUUUGAGAUUGACUGACAUCCCAUCAAACACAUUCAGUGUUCCCAGAUCCACCAUGACCCUGACCAGGAUAAAGCACUUACUGAAGUUGUAGUCUGACAGCAAAGCUAAUAUUUAAGAGCUAUCAUUUAUUUCUGGCAGAAGAAGCUCAUCAGUGUUAAGAAUGAAUUGCCUCAUGGGAAUAUGGUUUAAACUAAAUUCCACCAUAUGCUGGUGUGCAUAUGUGUGUGUGUGUGUGUGUGUGUGUGUGUGUGUGUGUGUGGUGAUAUGCGUAUAUCCACAUGCAGGUGCAGCAUGAACAGGAAGUAUGUAGGCUACACAUAAAGAUAAUUUCACACUAUGCUUUGAUUUGUUUUACUUUGUGUUAUCUGAUACUCAGUUAACUAUAAGGUUAACUGGAAUGGUGCAGGUGGAUAUCGCAUAAUUUUGCUGCGUUUCAGCUGCUUUCUGCUCACACCUUAUAGAAAUUAGAUGGUAGAUUGGGUUUCCUCUGAAUAUUUAGGAAUUAUGAAUGUCUUUCAAUUUACCCUUCUUUAUUUAAUUAGAACCCACUGAAAUGAGCUUAAAUGAGUUAUACCAUACAUAGUAGGGUCUAAACAUAUGAGCACACAACCAACUU
Molecule: long non-coding RNA, 6459 nt
Organism: Ictalurus furcatus (blue catfish)
Lineage: Eukaryota; Metazoa; Chordata; Actinopteri; Siluriformes; Ictaluridae
Exons: 5
Source: RefSeq, a predicted model, not a curated record